Molecule: long non-coding RNA, 207 nt
Filed under: Mytilus galloprovincialis (Mediterranean mussel)
Lineage: Eukaryota; Metazoa; Mollusca; Bivalvia; Mytilida; Mytilidae
Source: RNAcentral
GGCCGGUUCAGUCAAAUCGUUUCAGAAUCAUAAUUUGGUCUGCUGAUAUCCUUAUCGUGAUGAACAUGGAGCAUGGCAAGACCGCACAAUCCCUCGCCUCUCAUGCAUGCUCUUUUCCAAGUUUUCAGUCGUUUCAGGACAUUCUGUGUUUCUAAAGGUAGCACAUUAUCAUCAACACAAUGAUCAAUGUCUUCUUCCAAUUCCUUC